CCACCGUCGACGGUGGCAAGGAGGAGGACAUGCGGGGAAACGGCAGGCUGCCGUGUGCGUGUCUGAGAUCGGCGCCGCCCCUUUUUCAUCAUGCGACAAUGUUGGUCGGAGCUUAGCCGCCUCCAGUCCCUGCUCAUCUUCGUCGCACACAGGAGCCAUCCAAGUUCUGACUCCUCCACUCGACGCCUCUUCUUAGCGCACAAAUCUUGGACGGCCGGAUUCUUCCUUCUGGACUACAGAAACUUGGAGUUAGCAACCAACGUUGGGCUGAAUGCGGAAAUUCAUUCGCAUCCUCUCUUGGUCUCCUCCUUUAUACAAGCCAUCUGUUUUCGCUACAAGCUUCUGUUAGUUUUACUUAUAUGCAGUUGUAAAGAUUUCGUGUGUUUGUAUUUUCUGGUCAGUGUUAUAUGAUAUAUGGCUCAAAUGUCCACUGACUUGCAUAAUUAAAAUCUGCACAUCGUUGCGGAUUUUUUUGAUAUCACUCAAAUUUAGCUGGCAGCAUUACGGAAUACUAAUGUGCCUCGCUAUAUUUUAAAAAUGAUACACGUUAGUCAAUUGA
This is a long non-coding RNA of Lolium rigidum, 559 nucleotides long. RefSeq lists it as uncharacterized. The record is from RefSeq and is a predicted model, not a curated record. NCBI's taxonomy places the organism in Eukaryota, Viridiplantae, Streptophyta, Magnoliopsida, Poales, Poaceae. The transcript has 2 exons.